GGGUCGGACACGCUCCGCUAAACCCGCAGGCGCAAUGAAAGUGAAGGCCGCCCUUCAGCGGGGCCGAGGGAGGACGGGGGAUGCCAGAGGGCCCCCCGCACUCCCGGGGCGUCUGAUCCUCACUGCGAGGGAGGCGCGGCCC
RNAcentral lists this ribosomal RNA (142 nucleotides) under Hemicordulia tau. RNAcentral describes it as "partial 28S ribosomal RNA". The record is from RNAcentral. Lineage: Eukaryota; Metazoa; Arthropoda; Insecta; Odonata; Corduliidae.